AGCUUUCCACAGUGGCAGUAGAGUAGCCAAUGGGGUUUAUCUGAGGCAUGAUUAUUGCUAAUUGAAAACUUUUCCCAGUACCCCACCAUGAUGACUUGAAAUAUUUGGAUCUUGACGUACAA
This 122-nucleotide small nuclear RNA is filed under the name Octodon degus (degu). Its description in RNAcentral is "U4 spliceosomal RNA (ENSODEG00000025725.1)". It matches the Rfam family "U4 spliceosomal RNA". Rfam says of the family: U4 small nuclear RNA (U4 snRNA) is a component of the major U2-dependent spliceosome. The structure of U4 snRNA from yeast and human has been reported. U4 snRNA presents a k-turn RNA motif in the 5p-SL related to recognition of Snu13 protein. The record is from RNAcentral. Lineage: Eukaryota; Metazoa; Chordata; Mammalia; Rodentia; Octodontidae.